GAUGAACGCUGGCGGCGUGCCUAAUACAUGCAAGUCGAGCGAACGGACGAGAAGCUUGCUUCUCUGAUGUUAGCGGCGGACGGGUGAGUAACACGUGGAUAACCUACCUAUAAGACUGGGAUAACUUCGGGAAACCGGAGCUAAUACCGGAUAAUAUUUUGAACCGCAUGGUUCAAAAGUGAAAGACGGUCUUGCUGUCACUUAUAGAUGGAUCCGCGCUGCAUUAGCUAGUUGGUAAGGUAACGGCUUACCAAGGCAACGAUGCAUAGCCGACCUGAGAGGGUGAUCGGCCACACGGGACCGGAGACCGGGUCAAGACCCCUAGGGGAGGCAGCAGUAGGGAAUCUCCCGCAAGGGGCGAAAGCCUGCCGGAGCAACGCCGCGUGAGUGAUGAAGGUUUUCGGAUCGUAAAACUCUUUUAUGAGGGAAGAACAAAUGUGUAAGUAACUGUGCACAUCUGGACGGUACCUAAUAAGAAAGCCACGGCUAACUACGUG
This 497-nucleotide ribosomal RNA is filed under the name uncultured bacterium. RNAcentral describes it as "partial 16S ribosomal RNA". It matches the Rfam family "Bacterial small subunit ribosomal RNA", at positions 28 to 507 of the family's 1533-position model. The record is from RNAcentral.